This 84-nucleotide transfer RNA is filed under the name Araneus ventricosus. Its description in RNAcentral is "tRNA-Leu". Lineage: Eukaryota; Metazoa; Arthropoda; Arachnida; Araneae; Araneidae. The record is from RNAcentral.
UGUUAGAAGAGGGAUUCGAACCCUCGCCCACAAGAGUUUACUGCGACCUGAACGCAGCGCCUUAGUCCGCUCGGCCAUCCUGAC